GUUAACUCUAGCGUUGCACAGAUUACCCAUUCGUAUAAAAACUACACAGUAAAACUGCAAUGGCUCAUUAAAACAGUUAUAGUUUAUUUGAUACAUAAAGUGGAUAACUGUAGAAAAACUAGAGCUAAUACAUGCCAUAACCGCAAGGUUGUAUUUAUUAGAUAUUCCAAUUAAGGUGAAUCAUAAUAACUUCGCAAAUCUUGGCUUGUGCCGAGAUAAAUCAUCCAAGUUUCUGCCCUAUCAUGCUUUCGAUGGUAGUGUAUUGGACUACCAUUGCGAUACUACGGGUAACAGGGAAUUAGGGUUCGAUUCUGGAGAAGGAGCCUGAGACACGGCCUACUACAUCUACGGAAGGCAGCAGGCGCGUAAAUUACCCAAUCCUGACUCAGGGAGGUGGUGACAAGAUAUAACAACAACGAUGCAAAUCGUGAUUGUAGUGAGGGUAUUCUAAACCGAACCACUAGUACGAUUAGAGGGCAAGUCUGGUGCAGCAGCCGCGGUAUUCAGCUCUAUAGCGUAUAUAAAGUGCUGCAGUAAAAGCUCGUAGUGAUUCAGACAGCUUACUCUUGAGUAGCUCUACUAGCUCGACUGACUGCAGAAUGAUGUAGCAGCUUGCAGAACAUGCUGAAACGAUGUUGACUGUAUUCAUCAUAAAAGUGGCUGUUAUUCAGAUGGUAACUGAUCGGUUCAAGGAAAGGUAUCAAGGAAUCAAUUGAAUCACCCCCCCCCCCCCCACAUAAAGACCGUCGAAUAA
Molecule: ribosomal RNA, 754 nt
Filed under: uncultured rumen protozoa
Lineage: Eukaryota
Description: bacterial SSU rRNA
Rfam family: Eukaryotic small subunit ribosomal RNA
Source: RNAcentral